This 440-nucleotide ribosomal RNA is filed under the name uncultured bacterium. Its description in RNAcentral is "partial 16S ribosomal RNA". It matches the Rfam family "Bacterial small subunit ribosomal RNA", at positions 338 to 795 of the family's 1533-position model. The record is from RNAcentral.
CCUACGGGAGGCAGCAGUGGGGAAUAUUGCUCAAUGGGGGAAACCCUGAUGCAGCGACGCCGCGUGAAGGAAGGAGUAUUUCGGUCUGUAAACUUCUAUCAGCAGGGAAGAAAAUGACGGUACCUGACUAAGAAGCCCCUGCUAACUACGUGCCAGAAGCCGCGGUAAUACGUAGGGGGCAGGCGUUAUCCGGAUUUACUGGGUGUAAAGGGAGCGUUGGCGGUUAUGCAAGUCACAAGUGAAAGCCCGCAGCUCAACUGCGGAACUGCUUUUGAAACUGUAUGACUAGAUUGCAGGAGAGGUGAGAGGAAUGCGUAGUGUAGCGGUGAAAUGCGUAGAUAUUAGGAGGAACACCAGUGGCGAAGGCGGCUUACGAGACUGUAAAUGACGCUGAGGCUCGAAAGCGUGGGGAGCAAACAGGAUUAGAUACCCUAGUAGUC